Molecule: non-coding RNA, 505 nt
Organism: Peromyscus maniculatus bairdii (prairie deer mouse)
Lineage: Eukaryota; Metazoa; Chordata; Mammalia; Rodentia; Cricetidae
Source: RefSeq, a predicted model, not a curated record
AUGUGUUCUUCUGAUUGGUUGAUAAAUAAAAUGCUGAUUGGCCAGUAGCCAGGUGGGAUGAGCAGAGAGGAGAAUUCUGGGAAGACGAAACCUGAGUCAGGAGACACCAGUCCGCUGUCUAGAGAGCAACACGUAACAGCACACAGAGCAAGCUGUGGAUGAAACCGUUAACAUGAGGACUUCCGGGAGACAUUACAGGUCCAAAUUACUGCACCCUCCAUUUUGGAAGGGGUGACCUGUAACCAGCUGGACACCACAGAGGCCUCAGCUGUGAGAAGAUGCAGCUGGCCUGAUGAGUCUGGUUGCCUGUCUGCUGUGCAGUUAUGGUUCCAGCAGGGAGACACUUGCCUGAAGGGUCCCUUCUGGAAUCUUCCAGCAGGAGGCUCUGGGAUCUUACCAAGCCAGAAACUGAGACUCUCGGGGACUCUGCAAGCCACUGAGUCAACACAAAUAAAAUCAUUCGUUACUCCAUUGAUUGGGGAACUGAAUCUUUUAUUAAAGAAAA